CCGGCUGUCUUUGGGGAGUAGCCGGCUUUCGCGACAGCGGAAGCGUUCAUGUCAACACGCUCGGUCGUAGACCGUGGCAUGAACCGCCUUCGGGUUGGCAAGACCAUCGACAUGUCAGCGCGGCCCGCCGGGCGCGCGGCAUGUCGUACGUCCACGCCCGGCUCGCACGC
Molecule: small RNA, 170 nt
Filed under: Caballeronia glathei
Lineage: Bacteria; Pseudomonadati; Pseudomonadota; Betaproteobacteria; Burkholderiales; Burkholderiaceae
Description: Burkholderia glathei Manganese sequence
Rfam family: Manganese Mn2+ riboswitch aptamer (yybP-ykoY) (bases 1-137)
About the family: This RNA was originally discovered in E. coli during a large scale screen and was named SraF. The family was later found to exist upstream of related families of protein genes in many bacteria, including the the yybP and ykoK genes in B. subtilis.
Source: RNAcentral